RNAcentral lists this ribosomal RNA (761 nucleotides) under fungal sp. RNAcentral describes it as "eukaryotic LSU rRNA". The stretch from base 473 to 761 matches the Rfam family "Eukaryotic large subunit ribosomal RNA", at positions 1 to 287 of the family's 3401-position model. The record is from RNAcentral. Lineage: Eukaryota; Fungi.
CUGCGGAAGGUCAUUAUCGUGGGGCUUCGGCCCUCUCGAGAUAGAAACCCUUGCCUUUUCGAGUACCCUUCGUUUCCUCGGCAGGCUCGCCUGCCAAUGGGGACCCAAUCAAACCCUUUGUAUAAGCAGUAUACGUCUGAAAAUAAUACAAAAUAUUAAAACUUUCAACAACGGAUCUCUUGGUUCUGGCAUCGAUGAAGAACGCAGCGAAAUGCGAUAAGUAGUGUGAAUUGCAGAAUUCAGUGAAUCAUCGAAUCUUUGAACGCACAUUGCGCCCUUUGGUAUUCCUUUGGGCACGCCUGUUCGAGCGUCAUUUACCCCCUCAAGCUCAGCUUGGUGAUGGGCGUCUGUCCCGCCUCCCGCGCGUGGACUCGCCUUAAAAGCAUUGGCGGCCGCUACAUUGGCUUCGAGCGCAGCAAAACGCGCCUUCGUUGUCGUGGAUCGGCUCCCAGAAGCCCCUUUUUAUUAGUUUUGACCUCGGAUCAGGUGAGAAUACCCGCUGAACUUAAGCAUAUCAAUAAGCGGAGGAAAAGAAACCAACAGGGAUUGCCUCAGUAACGGCGAGUGAAGCGGCAUCAGCUCAAAUUUGAAAUCUGGCUCUUUUAGGGUCCGAGUUGUAAUUUGUAGAGGGAGCUUUGGCGUUGGCUGUGGUCUAAGUUCCUUGGAACAGGACGUCACAGAGGGUGAGAAUCCCGUACGUGGCCGCCAGUCUUCGCCGUGUAAAGCCCCUUCGACGAGUCGAGUUGUUUGGGAAUGCAGCU